RNAcentral lists this long non-coding RNA (215 nucleotides) under Citrus sinensis (sweet orange). RNAcentral's name for it is "long non-coding RNA (CSIN_LNC005099)". The record is from RNAcentral. Lineage: Eukaryota; Viridiplantae; Streptophyta; Magnoliopsida; Sapindales; Rutaceae.
UCCACUCUCCUUUCAAAAAACGCUUUCUUAGUGCCAAGACCACUAGAUUACCUGCUGAUGUAGUGGUAUUUGCUAAUUGUUUUGCGUCAUCUGGCCGCGACACGACAAGCACUUUUUUUUUUUUUUUUUUGGUUCGAAUGAAAUUACUGCAUAUAAUAAUGUUGAACGGGAUACCAAUAAAGUGUUGGCUCCACUGGCAAUGGAGUCCCCUUAAG